This 683-nucleotide ribosomal RNA is filed under the name Actinomycetes bacterium. RNAcentral describes it as "bacterial SSU rRNA". It matches the Rfam family "Bacterial small subunit ribosomal RNA", at positions 28 to 701 of the family's 1533-position model. The record is from RNAcentral. Lineage: Bacteria; Bacillati; Actinomycetota; Actinomycetes.
GACGAACGCUGGCGGCGUGCUUAACACAUGCAAGUUGAGCGGAAAAGGCCCUUCGGGGGUACUCGAGCGGCGAACGGGUGAGUAACACGUGGGUAAUCAACCCUUGACAUCGGGAUACCCGGGGAAACCCGGAUCAAUACCGGAUAAGGUGCGGAGGCGCAGGCCGCCGUACCAAAGAUAGCUUCGGCUUUCGGUCAAGGACGAGCCCGCGGCCCAUUAGCUUGUUGGUGGGGUAAUGGCCUACCAAGGCGACGAUGGGUAGCUGGUCUGAGAGGACGAUCAGCCACACUGGGACUGAGACACGGCCCAGACUCCUACGGGAGGCAGCAGUGGGGAAUCUUGCGCAAUGGGCGGAAGCCUGACGCAGCAACGCCGCGUGCGGGAAGAAGGCCUUAGGGUCGUAAACCGCUUUCAGGGGGGACGAAGCUUCCGGGGUUAAUAGGCUACGGGGUGACGGUACUCCCAAAAGAAGGUCCGGCUAACUACGUGCCAGCAGCCGCGGUAAUACGUAGGGACCGAGCGUUGUCCGGAAUCAUUGGGCGUAAAGAGCGUGUAGGCGGCUUGGUAGGUCUCGUGUGAAAUCCCGCGGCUCAACCGCGGACCCGCACGGGAAACCCCCAAGCUCGAGUCCGGAAGAGGAGAGUGGAAUUCCUGGUGUAGCGGUGAAAUGCGCAGAUAUCAGG